GGGGAUUUAGCUCAGUGGUAGAGCGCUUGCCUAGCAAGCUUUAAAGCCCCGGGUUCAGUCCCCA
This 64-nucleotide transfer RNA is filed under the name Rattus norvegicus (Norway rat). It matches the Rfam family "tRNA". Rfam says of the family: Transfer RNA (tRNA) molecules are approximately 80 nucleotides in length. Their secondary structure includes four short double-helical elements and three loops (D, anti-codon, and T loops). Further hydrogen bonds mediate the characteristic L-shaped molecular structure. tRNAs have two regions of fundamental functional importance: the anti-codon, which is responsible for specific mRNA codon recognition, and the 3' end, to which the tRNAs corresponding amino acid is attached (by aminoacyl-tRNA synthetases). tRNAs cope with the degeneracy of the genetic code in two manners: having more than one tRNA (with a specific anti-codon) for a particular amino acid; and 'wobble' base-pairing, i.e. permitting non-standard base-pairing at the 3rd anti-codon position. The record is from Rfam by way of RNAcentral. Lineage: Eukaryota; Metazoa; Chordata; Mammalia; Rodentia; Muridae.